GGGUUGCAUUCAGAAGAUGUGGGGUAGUAUCCUGCAGGUUUUAUCA
RNAcentral lists this transfer RNA (46 nucleotides) under Paramesotriton qixilingensis. RNAcentral's name for it is "partial tRNA-Ala". Lineage: Eukaryota; Metazoa; Chordata; Amphibia; Caudata; Salamandridae. The record is from RNAcentral.